UGCGUAGGCGGCUUAGUCAGUCAGGGGUGAAAGUUCUGGGCUUAACCGAGGAAUUGCCUUUGAUACUGCUAAGCUUGAAUCAGGUUGAGGUAGGCGGAAUGUGGCAUGUAGCGGUGAAAUGCUUAGAUAUGCCAUAGAACACCAAUUGCGAAGGCAGCUUACUGGACCUGCAUUGACGCUCAGGCACGAAAGCGUGGGGAGCGAACAGGAUUAGAUACCCUGGUAGUCC
This 229-nucleotide ribosomal RNA is filed under the name uncultured bacterium. Its description in RNAcentral is "partial 16S ribosomal RNA". It matches the Rfam family "Bacterial small subunit ribosomal RNA", at positions 568 to 796 of the family's 1533-position model. The record is from RNAcentral.